GCCCCUAAAGCCCAAUUAACGCGGUUCUAAGCCCAUUUAGAUACUGACUCUUAAUCAGUGGGUUCCCGGUUCAAGUCCGGGGGGGGGGCA
Molecule: transfer RNA, 90 nt
Filed under: Aquiluna sp.
Lineage: Bacteria; Bacillati; Actinomycetota; Actinomycetes; Micrococcales; Microbacteriaceae
Description: tRNA-Leu
Source: RNAcentral